RNAcentral lists this ribosomal RNA (500 nucleotides) under uncultured bacterium. Its description in RNAcentral is "partial 16S ribosomal RNA". It matches the Rfam family "Bacterial small subunit ribosomal RNA", at positions 30 to 523 of the family's 1533-position model. The record is from RNAcentral.
AUUGAACGCUGGCGGAAUGCUUUACACAUGCAAGUCGAACGGCAGCACGGACUUCGGUCUGGUGGCGAGUGGCGAACGGGUGAGUAAUGUAUCGGAACGUGCCCAGUCGUGGGGGAUAACGUAGUGAAAAUUACGCUAAUACCGCAUACGAUCUAUGGAUGAAAGCGGGGGAUCGCAAGACCUCGCGCGAUUGUAGCGGCUGAUAUCAGAUUCGGUAGGUGGUGGGGUAAAGGCCCACCAAGCCAACGAUCUGUAGCUGGUCUGAGAGGACGACCAGCCACACUGGAACUGAGACACGGUCCAGACUCCUACGGGAGGCAGCAGUGGGGAAUUUUGGACAAUGGGCGAAAGCCUGAUCCAGCCAUUCCGCGUGCAGGAUGAAGGCCCUCGGGUUGUAAACUGCUUUUGUACAGAACGAAAAGGUUUCUACUAAUACUAGGAGCUCAUGACGGUACUGUAAGAAUAAGCACCGGCUAACUACGUGCCAGCAGCCGCGGUAA